RNAcentral lists this ribosomal RNA (253 nucleotides) under uncultured bacterium. RNAcentral's name for it is "partial 16S ribosomal RNA". It matches the Rfam family "Bacterial small subunit ribosomal RNA", at positions 524 to 776 of the family's 1533-position model. The record is from RNAcentral.
UACGUAGGGGGCAAGCGUUGUCCGGAUUUAUUGGGCGUAAAGAGCGUGUAGGCGGCCGUACAGGUCAGCUGUGAAAACUCGAGGCUCAACCUCGAGACGUCGGUUGAAACCGUAUGGCUAGAGUCCGGAAGAGGAGAGUGGAAUUCCCGGUGUAGCGGUGAAAUGCGCAGAUAUCGGGAAGAACACCCGUGGCGAAGGCGGCUCUCUGGGACGGUACUGACGCUGAGACGCGAAAGCGUGGGGAGCGAACAGG